CAAGUGAGGGCAGACAGCGACAGUUUAAUUGGGCUGCUCUCUAUAACUCUAUCUGGGGCUGUAAGCACUGGACUAUAAACAAGGGAAACACUGCACUCAAUACCAAACUGCAGCAGCCCACAGAAAAAAGAAGCUACUUCUGAUGGCAGGAUCUCUCAUUUACCCUGGCGUCAGGUUGGCUACAGGUGAACAGGAGCAAUGUAAGCGCUGCAGCCGAAGAAAGAUGAUGCCUAACAUCAUGACAACAGUGAAGAGAAAAGGUCUCUGUACCUGCCUACCUACAACAAGUUUCUGUAAAGUAAUGAAUAGAGACAGCUUGGGGACCAUCCACCUGCGCUGACUGCCUUUUACUGCCUGCAAAGUGAAACCACGAGGGAUUGGCAGAAGGGAGAGACCUAGUGAGCCUAAAUUGGAACAACUUCUUUAUAAGGAGAUUUAAAUACAUAAUUAAGUUGUUUGCAACAUGCUGAGAUACCUAUGGUUUUAUUUAUAGAUAGAAACCCUAGAUUAUUAUCCCAAACCCAAAAGGCCUCUGGAUUGUCUCAAAGUACUGAAACAUCUUACAUUAGGUUCAUGUAAAGUACACUCUAUGGAAUUAUGCUUUUCUGAGAAAUAAAGAUCAACAUUAUCUGUCACUAGAUAAAGGUAGUAGUUCAUAAAACUAGAAAAUAUGACCAACUUUUAACAGCUGCUAGAUAGUCACUUAACUCUAUUAUCAUGGAAUCAAUGCCCUUUUUUAAUGUGGUGUCCAAAACAGGCUGCUUUUUAGCACAGUACACUCCUAGAAGUCAGAAAGAUCUGGAUUAAAAUCCUGCCCCUGACAUUAACUGUGUGUGCAAGUCACCUAACUUCUCAACUUCCUCAUCCACAAAAUGGAGAUAAUCUUUACUUCACUGGGCAGUUGUGAAGAUCAAAUAAAUUAAUGUAUAAAAAAGUACUUUGAAAACAUUAAAGUUCCAUAAACAUUUUAGCCAUUUAAAAUUCACUGUUGUCUUCUCAAUCUAAUUCAACAACCUCUGUUUGCUCUUGACCCAUUACUCUGACUAGUAGCAACUAGUACAUUUCUGAUAAUCAGUCAAUAUUGUUGUUCUGUUGUUUCAAUCAUGUCAGACUCUUUGUAAUCUUAUUUGGGAUUUUCUUGGUAAAGGCACCGGAGUAGUUUGCCAUUUUCUUCUCUAGCUCAUUUUAAAGAUGAGGAAACUGAGGAAAACAGGAUUAAGUGACUUGCCCAGGUCACACAGUUAGUAAAUGCCUAAGGCCAGAUUCGAAUUCAGGAAGAUAAUAAGUCUUCCUGACUUCAGGCCUGGCACUCUAUCCACUGUGCUACAUCUUUGUCUGCAGAGUACCUGCUCUACUCAGUCAAAAGGAUAAGCAUAUUAAUCCUUCCUCAUAAAUUGCAGUUUGUCUUUCCUGUCAAAUUAAAGUUAUAUACACUUUAUACUGAAAAUCAAGAUGUUUAAAGGAAUUUUAAAAAUAAAAGCAUCACCUUGCAUAAUUUCCAAAGUGCUUCCAUGGAUAUUAUCUUAAUCCUCUCAAUAAAUGAGAGAGAGAAGACAGGUAUUAUCUCCAUUUGUCUGAUAAGGAAAAUGAAAUACAUAAAUAUUAAGCAAUGUGUCCAACUGAUAGAAUGUAAGUUCCAUGAAGGCAGGGACUGUUUUGUUUUCCGUCUUUGUAUUUUAGCUUCUAGCAUAGUGCUUUGCACUCAAUAGGAGCAGUGCACUGUACCUUGCAUGGAGAUAGUUUUAAAGGCUAGAAAAGAGUUUGCAGUUUCUUUGGGCCAUGUUUUUUCACUGUAUCACAUUGUUUUCAAAUUCACAACUGUAUUCUAUAUUUCUUUUCGACAAGUGGAAAGGAUAACAAAAGAGCAAAACCUUUCAGAGGAAAGAAACAUCCAGUCACUGUCUAUCUCUAUACUCCAAACUUCCCUCACAAGACAAUAUAUUUAUAAAAUAUGCAUGCACCUUAAAUGUCCCAUGGAAAGCAAAAUAAAGGACUGGACCCUGUUAUCUAUUCAAAAGGG
Molecule: long non-coding RNA, 2020 nt
Organism: Monodelphis domestica (gray short-tailed opossum)
Lineage: Eukaryota; Metazoa; Chordata; Mammalia; Didelphimorphia; Didelphidae
Source: RefSeq, a predicted model, not a curated record